CUCCUCUGCUGUUGCUCUGUCCUUGUUUUCCUUUGCUGAUUGUCAUAAGCAGGUGUCUGUGUCAGACACACACGCUUGUAGUAGCUGGUUUAUCUGAUGAGCCCAGAACGUGACGGCUGCAGACCUUCCACCCUGUUCUGGUUGUUGGUCAGACGCUUCUUCUCCUUCGGUUCUUCUGCUGAUGGUGGGAAAGGAGUCCAGAUCCGGAUUUACCCUCAUCCCGCUCAGCUCUGCAUUAGAAUAGAGAGCAGAAACAAUGGGAGCAUUUGCUCCUGACAUGAUAUGUGUGUGUGUGUGGUGUGUGUGUGGCAGAGUGCAAACAAUUCUUCCCCAGAGUUUGUUUCUCCUUUUUUCCUGUUACUCUCAUCACUCUUUUGUUUCUUUUAGGGGUGUAGUUUUCAUUGUUUUGCUUUUUCAAAUCUCAUCUUUUGUAUCUAACUUUUCUUUUAAGGUGCAUAUGUCUUUUACACUAAGUGAUUCUCCUUUUGAACCCAUAACCAGUUUCCCACUCAUGGAAACAUGAAACGCACUAAUAACCAUAUUUACUUUUUACUUUUAUAAUUACUUUUAAUUUUGUAAUGCUGCAGUCUGGUGGUGAAGACUCAGAUUGCCCCGAACCCGUCUUUCAGAGUCCUGCGGUUUCCUGCCUUAGAUUUUUUUGUGUGUUCCGGCCGGAACCUUCCCAAAAUGCCUUUUUAUCGGACGUCUCCGUAAAAAGGGAACCAACCUGAUCUGGCGACAGAUCCUUUCACGAAGUAUUUCCUCAACGUUAGGCCCCUCUAGGCCCGGGUCCCUCGUAUCUUGAAAAUACUUCACUCUGCGAACGCGCUCCCUCUUUCAGAAGCCGUCUUUUAUACUCAGUCCCCCACAUGUGGACCACGCACAGAUAAAAAAAAACAUGUCUGUAUCCUCAGUACAGACGGAAGCUCGGUUCCACGAGCCAACCCUUAGCAACCGACGUCUCACCACCCAGAGCAGACUUUCACCUAAUUAAGAACAUGUAAUAUUGGGAUUUUUUUUUCUC
Long non-coding RNA from Betta splendens (Siamese fighting fish), 1024 nucleotides. RefSeq lists it as uncharacterized. Lineage: Eukaryota; Metazoa; Chordata; Actinopteri; Anabantiformes; Osphronemidae. The record is from RefSeq and is a predicted model, not a curated record. The transcript is spliced from 2 exons.